UCGUUCCCAAGGGAAAUCAGCCU
This 23-nucleotide non-coding RNA is filed under the name Arabidopsis thaliana (thale cress). The record is from RNAcentral. Lineage: Eukaryota; Viridiplantae; Streptophyta; Magnoliopsida; Brassicales; Brassicaceae.